Molecule: ribosomal RNA, 253 nt
Filed under: uncultured bacterium
Lineage: Bacteria
Description: partial 16S ribosomal RNA
Rfam family: Bacterial small subunit ribosomal RNA
Source: RNAcentral
UACGUAGGGUGCGAGCGUUGUCCGGAAUUAUUGGGCGUAAAGGGCUCGUAGGCGGUCUGUUACGUCGGGAGUGAAAACUCGGGGCUCAACCCCGAGCCUGCUUCCGAUACGGGCAGACUAGAGGUAUGCAGGGGAGAAUGGAAUUCCUGGUGUAGCGGUGAAAUGCGCAGAUAUCAGGAGGAACACCGGUGGCGAAGGCGGUUCUCUGGGCAUUAACUGACGCUGAGGAGCGAAAGCAUGGGGAGCGAACAGG